Sorghum bicolor (sorghum) is the source of this 1737-nucleotide RNA transcript. It is a transcript of the gene named transcription termination factor MTERF15, mitochondrial, with no coding region annotated. NCBI's taxonomy places the organism in Eukaryota, Viridiplantae, Streptophyta, Magnoliopsida, Poales, Poaceae. The record is from RefSeq and is a predicted model, not a curated record. The transcript has 3 exons.
CACAUAGGCCAUAGCGUUUCCUCUCCCACUGUAGUACUGUACCAUCUUCGUCCCCGCCGGCGCCGGCAGCCAUGUCCAUGCUCCUUGUCCAGAAACAACACCUCCCUCUCUCCGUCCGUCCCCGCACGACCGUCACUCUCCUCUCCUUGCGCCACCAAUGCCGUCUCCCCACGACUCGAUUCUCCGCCGCCGCCGCCGAAUCGGCUAGCCGCGCUGCCCCCUUCGCCGUCGAGGACUACCUCGUCGCCACAUGCCACCUCACCCCGGCGCAGGCGCUCAAGGCCUCCAAGGUGCUCUCGCACCUCAAGUCCCCCUCCAGACCCGACGCCGUGCUCGCCUUCCUCUCGGACCUCGGUCUCUCCGACGCCGACAUCGCCGCUGCCGUCUCCUACGACCCCAAGCUUCUCUGCUCCGAGGUCGAGCGGACUCUGGCCCCGCGUCUCGUGGAGCUCCGGGACCUCGGCCUCUCUCCGUCCCAGAUCGCCCGCCUCGUCCUCGUCGACCCCGCGCGCUUCCGCCGCCCCACCGUCGUCUCCAAGCUGCAGUAUUACGUCCCCCUCUUCGGUUCCUUCGAGAACCUCAUCCAUGCUCUCAGGAGCAACGCCUACCUCCUCAGCUCCGACCUCGAGCGCGUGGUCAAGCCCAACGUCGCGUUCCUGAUGGAGUGCGGGCUAGAUGCUUGUGAUAUUGCCAAGCUGUCCAUACCCGUCCCUAGGCUGAUCACCACCAACCCAGAACGCGUCCGGGCAAUGGUCGAGCGAGCUGAAGCUGUCGGUGCGCCUCGUGGCACCGGGAUGUUUAGGCACGCACUGCUGGCUGUCGCGUUCCUCAGCGAGGAAAAGAUCAAAGCUAAGGUGGAGUUCUUGAAGACAACAUUUCAGUGGUCGGAUGCUGAGGUGGGCGUUGCGGUUUCCAAGCUGCCAUUGGUGCUCAAGCACUCCAAGGACAGGUUGCGCCGCAUGUCAGAGUUCCUGAUCACCAAGGUUGGGUUGGAGCCGGAGUACAUUGCUCACAGGCCUGCUCUGCUUACAUAUAGCUUGGAACGCCGCCUCAUGCCCCGGCACUAUGUUGUGAAUUACCUGAAGGAAAAUGGGUUAUUGGAGCAGGACCGGAGCUACUAUACUGCUGUCCAGGUGAGCGAGAAUGUCUUCAUGGAGAAGUUCAUACUCCCUUACAAGGAAGCUGCACCAAGCCUCGCCCUAGAUUAUGCUGCUGCUUGCAGAGGAGAGGUGCCUACCUUCAGAUUUCAAGAACCCAGCACCGGCUCAGCAAGUGUUUAAGCCUUCAGUGUGCAGCAGUGUUUUGACACUUAGCAGUGAGCUGGGCUUAAAGCAAAAAAUAGUUCAGCGAUUUGAAGUAUUAUGGAUACUCAAGCAACACAUCUUGAAGGAUGAAAGUAGCUACCGCUGUCUAUGGAUCAUUGCAUGGCUGGUCUAAAAGAGGACGAGAAGCAGUCCCUACUUGAGCAAUGCGCUUCGCAAGGGCAUCCAAAGGGAACGGGAGGCGCGCGCCGUCUAGCGGUCGGUCAAGCAGGUGCCCGUGGAUGCGCUGCGAGCGGAGACGCAGUCUUAAAAAGCGCCAUCGAGCUGGCCGGUUCCAAGACGGAGGACGAGGACGGUAACUUGUCAUAUGUUGACUUGGAGCGACAGUUUGGAAUGCUUCCUGUGACUCGCUUUGCCAGGCUAGGCAAGAAAAUGAACGUUUGGUUGUUUUGCCUGUUUCCUCGUUUCUUGUGUA